GAUGAAUAACGUAGCGAAAUGCGAUAAGUAAUGUGAAUUGCAGAAUUCAGUGAAUCAUCGAAUCUUUGAACGCACAUUGCGCCCCCUGGUAUUCCGGGGGGCAUGCCUGUCCGAGCGUCAUUACAACCCUCAAGCUCAGCUUGGUAUUGGGCCCCGCCGCUCCGGCGGGCCCUAAAGUCAGUGGCGGUGCCGUCCGGCUCCGAGCGUAGUAAUUCUUCUCGCUCUGGAGGCCCGGUCGUGUGCUCGCCAGCAACCCCCAAUUUUUUUCAGGUUGACCUCGGAUCAGGUAGGGAUACCCGCUGAACUUAAGCAUAUCAAUAAGCGGAGGA
Molecule: unclassified non-coding RNA, 329 nt
Filed under: soil metagenome
Description: partial contains 5.8S ribosomal RNA, internal transcribed spacer 2, and large subunit ribosomal RNA
Rfam family: 5.8S ribosomal RNA (bases 1-120)
Source: RNAcentral